GUGACUGUUUCUGAUGUUCACUGCAUUUCUUAAUGAUACACUGCAACCACAGUCACACACGUCAAAACAGAUGGUUCCUGCUGGCCAGCAUUAGGGCACAGCAGGUUAAGGCGCUGUGCGGC
Ochotona princeps (American pika) is the source of this 122-nucleotide small nucleolar RNA. Lineage: Eukaryota; Metazoa; Chordata; Mammalia; Lagomorpha; Ochotonidae. The record is from Ensembl.